RNAcentral lists this small nucleolar RNA (202 nucleotides) under Anopheles dirus. Its description in RNAcentral is "small nucleolar RNA U3". It matches the Rfam family "Small nucleolar RNA U3". Rfam says of the family: Small nucleolar RNAs (snoRNAs) are involved in the processing and modification of rRNA in the nucleolus. There are two main classes of snoRNAs: the box C/D class, and the box H/ACA class. Lineage: Eukaryota; Metazoa; Arthropoda; Insecta; Diptera; Culicidae. The record is from RNAcentral.
AAGACUGUGCUUCAUAGGAUCAUUUCUAUAGGCUAGUUUUCAGUUCUACUUCAUCGUAAGCGGAGCUUAUCCAACCCACGAUGACGAGUCGUAGUGGCUGUCCUGGAGCGUGAAACUGUCGGAUCUCGGCUGCGCCUCUGGCGUGUCGGUCUGUACUUGAUGAUCGUAUCCUAAGCAAAAGGGCAGACACAUUCUGAGUGGU